UACGUAGGGGGCCAGCGUUGUCCGGAUUCAUUGGGCGUAAAGCGCGUGUAGGCGGCCAGGUAGGUCCGAUGUGAAAUCUGGAGGCUCAACCUCCAGCGGUCAUUGGAAACCAUCUGGCUAGAGUCCGGAAGAGGGGAGUGGAAUUCCUGGUGUAGCGGUGAAAUGCGCAGAUAUCAGGAAGAACACCAAUGGCGAAGGCAGCUCUCUGGGACGGUACUGACGCUGAGACGCGAAAGCGUGGGGAGCGAACAGG
This 253-nucleotide ribosomal RNA is filed under the name uncultured bacterium. RNAcentral's name for it is "partial 16S ribosomal RNA". It matches the Rfam family "Bacterial small subunit ribosomal RNA", at positions 524 to 776 of the family's 1533-position model. The record is from RNAcentral.